Molecule: ribosomal RNA, 501 nt
Filed under: uncultured bacterium
Lineage: Bacteria
Description: bacterial SSU rRNA
Rfam family: Bacterial small subunit ribosomal RNA
Source: RNAcentral
AGGGUUCGAUUCUGGCUCAGGAUGAACGCUGGCGGCGUGCUUAACACAUGCAAGUCGAACGGAGAUUACUUUUAGCUUGCUAAGUUGUAAUCUUAGUGGCGGACGGGUGAGUAACGCGUGGGUAACCUGCCUUAUACAGGGGGAUAACAGUCGGAAACGACUGCUAAUACCGCAUAAGCGCACAGUAUCGCAUGAUAGAGUGUGAAAAGAUUUAUCGGUAUAAGAUGGACCCGCGUCUGAUUAGCUGGUUGGUGAGGUAACGGCCCACCCAAGGCGACGAUCAGUAGCCGGCCUGAGAGGGUGAACGGCCACAUUGGGACUGAGACACGGCCCAAACUCCUACGGGAGGCAGCAGUGGGGAAUAUUGCACAAUGGGGGAAACCCUGAUGCAGCGACGCCGCGUGAGUGAAGAAGUAUUUCGGUAUGUAAAGCUCUAUCAGCAGGGAAGAAAAUGACGGUACCUGACUAAGAAGCCCCGGCUAACUACGUGCCAGCCGCCGC